Molecule: non-coding RNA, 141 nt
Organism: Arachis ipaensis
Lineage: Eukaryota; Viridiplantae; Streptophyta; Magnoliopsida; Fabales; Fabaceae
Source: RefSeq, a predicted model, not a curated record
AUAGAUGCAGAGGAAUCUACCCUUGCUUCAUUCAUCUUUAAACUCCCCAUCACCCACUUUAAAGGAAAACCAUCCAUGUUGAAGGGGAAAACGAACUUAAUUAGGUCACAAAUUUUGAAGAGCAAAUGUUAGAGAGUAAAA